GACGAACGCUGGCGGCGUGCUUAACACAUGCAAGUCGAACGGAAAGGCCCUGCUUUUGUGGGGUGCUCGAGUGGCGAACGGGUGAGUAACACGUGAGUAACCUGCCCUUGACUUUGGGAUAACUUCAGGAAACUGGGGCUAAUACCGGAUAGGAGCUCCUGCUGCAUGGUGGGGGUUGGAAAGAUUCGGCGGUUGGGGAUGGACUCGCGGCUUAUCAGCUUGUUGGUGGGGUAGUGGCGUACAAAGGCUUUGACGGGUAGCCGGCCUGAGAGGGUGACCGGCCACAUUGGGACUGAGAUACGGCCCAGACUCCUACGGGAGGCAGCAGUGGGGAAUAUUGCACAAUGGGCGGAAGCCUGAUGCAGCAACGCCGCGUGCGGGAUGACGGCCUUCGGGUUGUAAACCGCUUUCGCCUGUGACGAAGCGUGAGUGACGGUAAUGGGUAAAGAAGCACCGGCUAACUACGUG
RNAcentral lists this ribosomal RNA (468 nucleotides) under uncultured bacterium. RNAcentral's name for it is "partial 16S ribosomal RNA". It matches the Rfam family "Bacterial small subunit ribosomal RNA", at positions 28 to 507 of the family's 1533-position model. The record is from RNAcentral.